UACGGAGGUGGCAAGCGUUGCUCGGAAUCACUGGGCGUAAAGGGCGCGUAGGCGGGGAGGUAAGUCGGGUGUGAAAUCCCUCGGCCCAACCGAGGAACUGCGCCCGAGACUGCUUCUCUUGAGUCCCGGAGAGGAAGAUGGAAUUCCCGGUGUAGCGGUGAAAUGCGUAGAGAUGGGGGAGAACACUUGUGGCGAAGGCGGCCAGCUGGACCAGUUCUGACGCUGAGGCGCGAAAGCGUGGGGAGCAAACAGG
Molecule: ribosomal RNA, 253 nt
Filed under: uncultured bacterium
Lineage: Bacteria
Description: partial 16S ribosomal RNA
Rfam family: Bacterial small subunit ribosomal RNA
Source: RNAcentral